AUUGAACGCUGGCGGCAGGCCUAACACAUGCAAGUCGAGCGGAUGAAGGGAGCUUGCUCCUGGAUUCAGCGGCGGACGGGUGAGUAAUGCCUAAGAAUCUGCCUGGUAGUGGGGGAUAACGUCCGGAAACGGGCGCUAAUACCGCAUACGUCCUGAGGGAGAAAGUGGGGGAUCUUCGGACCUCACGCUAUCAGAUGAGCCUAGGUCGGAUUAGCUAGUUGGUGGGGUAAAGGCCUACCAAGGCGACGAUCCGUAACUGGUCUGAGAGGAUGAUCAGUCACACUGGAACUGAGACACGGUCCAGACUCCUACGGGAGGCAGCAGUGGGGAAUAUUGGACAAUGGGCGAAAGCCUGGUCCAGCCAUGCCGCGUGUGUGAAGAAGGUCUUCGGAUUGUAAAGCACUUUAAGUUGGGAGGAAGGGCAGUAAGUUAAUACCUUGCUGUUUUGACGUUACCAACAGAAUAAGCACCGGCUAACUUCGUG
Molecule: ribosomal RNA, 484 nt
Filed under: uncultured bacterium
Lineage: Bacteria
Description: partial 16S ribosomal RNA
Rfam family: Bacterial small subunit ribosomal RNA
Source: RNAcentral